CUAAAUGCAACAAAUCCGAGCCUUUGAGGGGGCUAAAAGUCACUAAAUUCCAGCCAUUUAUCAAUCAUGUUGGAAUCCAUUAACAGGAAAGAUCUCAAACGCAAGGGAGAAUGAAUCCAAACAUUGAUCGCAUGAGGACACUUGAAGAAAUAUGAUCAAUGGAUUCUCUCUCACCACAAAAACUGCAUUCAGGAGAUACAUCAGGGAGGCGCUCCUGGAGGAGGUAUUUGCAUGGCAACCGUUUCAUAAUUCAACAUAUACAUCUCAUAAGAAAUGACAGAUGAUUGAGUUUCAGGAGCUAUAGGUGCUGGCCCUGGUCACCGGCAAUCAUGGCGUCAUCGGAAUCCAUGGCGUAUCAACAAUUUCCUUUGUUCGUUUAGUAGUAAGAUUUGCUUGCGAUUUAAUUUGAAUUAAUAUUUAAGAUAAAGAACAAAAUCAAAGCUGUGCAAUUGAAAUGACAGAGGGAAAUAGAUGAAUAAUCAUUUAUUGAGAAUACAAAUACAACACAACACAUAUAUAAUAUCAAUUACUAAUUCAGAUGUGCAUCAGAUCAGAGCACGAGCAUGCAACUAAAACUAAUUCUGAAGGAUGGGCGCGGGUGCAGGCGCAGUGACGGUCUGAUCACUUGGAUUCUUCUGCGCUUGGCGUUCGCGAGGACAAUUCCACUUUCUAUGGUUCCCUUGGUCAUGGGAAUGUUGUAUUCCUCGUGUUAUAAACCCCCCGAACAUGGUCCCGAAAACAAACGCAACAACUGGCUUCAUGCUGCUGCUCAUUGAUUUGGUUUAAUAACCCCAAUAAUCAAGCUAAAGUGUCAAGUAAAUAUGGGUUUGCUUUGCAUAUCUGGGAGGUCAAUCGGAGGGGAUUUAUAGGAUCCACAUUCUUAAUUUCCAGGGACGUGAUGCCCAAGCCUUACUGUCGCAGCAGCUGCUGUCGCGUGUCCUGCACUCCACUUCGUGGGUCAAAUUGAUUUUCUUGUAGACAACUUGGAUUUGAAAAUUAUUACACUAAAUUAAUCAACGACAGCGAUAUGUAUUCUUAUUAUUAUUUUUUUUUAAUGAAGAAUUGAACAAAAGAGACCAGUAAGCCUUGUUUCCUUCCAUGAUUCAGUCAUGACAUACAAAUCC
Molecule: long non-coding RNA, 1124 nt
Filed under: Manihot esculenta (cassava)
Lineage: Eukaryota; Viridiplantae; Streptophyta; Magnoliopsida; Malpighiales; Euphorbiaceae
Description: long non-coding RNA (MESC_LNC000695)
Source: RNAcentral